GACGAACGCUGGCGGCGUGCUUAACACAUGCAAGUCGAGCGGUAAGGCCCUUUCGGGGGUACACGAGCGGCGAACGGGUGAGUAACACGUGGGUGACCUGCCCUCAGCUCUGGGAUAAGCCUGGGAAACCGGGUCUAAUACUGGAUAUGACUCCAUGACGCAUGUUGUGGGGUGAAAGCCUUGUGCGGCUGAGGAUGGGCCCGCGGCCUAUCAGCUUGUUGGUGGGGUGAUGGCCUACCAAGGCGACGACGGAUAGCCGGCCUGAGAGGGCGACCGGCCACACUGGGACUGAGACACGGCCCAGACUCCUACGGGAGGCAGCAGUGGGAAUCUUGCGCAAUGGGCGAAAGCCUGACGCAGCGACGCCGCGUGAGGGAUGACGGCCUGG
This 388-nucleotide ribosomal RNA is filed under the name uncultured bacterium. RNAcentral's name for it is "bacterial SSU rRNA". It matches the Rfam family "Bacterial small subunit ribosomal RNA", at positions 28 to 419 of the family's 1533-position model. The record is from RNAcentral.